Molecule: ribosomal RNA, 1080 nt
Filed under: Lactobacillus delbrueckii subsp. bulgaricus
Lineage: Bacteria; Bacillati; Bacillota; Bacilli; Lactobacillales; Lactobacillaceae
Description: bacterial SSU rRNA
Rfam family: Bacterial small subunit ribosomal RNA
Source: RNAcentral
CUUUAUUUGACGGUAAUCAACCAGAAAGUCACGGCUAACUACGUGCCAGCAGCCGCGGUAAUACGUAGGUGGCAAGCGUUGUCCGGAUUUAUUGGGCGUAAAGCGAGCGCAGGCGGAAUGAUAAGUCUGAUGUGAAAGCCCACGGCUCAACCGUGGAACUGCAUCGGAAACUGUCAUUCUUGAGUGCAGAAGAGGAGAGUGGAAUUCCAUGUGUAGCGGUGGAAUGCGUAGAUAUAUGGAAGAACACCAGUGGCGAAGGCGGCUCUCUGGUCUGCAACUGACGCUGAGGCUCGAAAGCAUGGGUAGCGAACAGGAUUAGAUACCCUGGUAGUCCAUGCCGUAAACGAUGAGCGCUAGGUGUUGGGGACUUUCCGGUCCUCAGUGCCGCAGCAAACGCAUUAAGCGCUCCGCCUGGGGAGUACGACCGCAAGGUUGAAACUCAAAGGAAUUGACGGGGGCCCGCACAAGCGGUGGAGCAUGUGGUUUAAUUCGAAGCAACGCGAAGAACCUUACCAGGUCUUGACAUCCUGCGCUACACCUAGAGAUAGGUGGUUCCCUUCGGGGACGCAGAGACAGGUGGUGCAUGGCUGUCGUCAGCUCGUGUCGUGAGAUGUUGGGUUAAGUCCCGCAACGAGCGCAACCCUUGUCUUUAGUUGCCAUCAUUAAGUUGGGCACUCUAAAGAGACUGCCGGUGACAAACCGGAGGAAGGUGGGGAUGACGUCAAGUCAUCAUGCCCCUUAUGACCUGGGCUACACACGUGCUACAAUGGGCAGUACAACGAGAAGCGAACCCGCGAGGGUAAGCGGAUCUCUUAAAGCUGUUCUCAGUUCGGACUGCAGGCUGCAACUCGCCUGCACGAAGCUGGAAUCGCUAGUAAUCGCGGAUCAGCACGCCGCGGUGAAUACGUUCCCGGGCCUUGUACACACCGCCCGUCACACCAUGGAAGUCUGCAAUGCCCAAAGUCGGUGGGAUAACCUUUAUAGGAGUCAGCCGCCUAAGGCAGGGCAGAUGACUGGGGUGAAGUCGUAACAAGGUAGCCGUAGGAGAACCUGCGGCUGGAUCACCUCCUUUCUAAGGAA